UGAAAAAGUAGAUUUGUAUUGAUGAUUGUUCAUUGUUUUACAAGCCUCACGAGGCACCUAUUUAUACUCUGUUAUAACUCGUUUCCUAACCGACUACAAUUUUAUCUCUUAUAUUUACAUACGGAUACAACUCGCAUCGGAGUCGAACACCAAUCAAUCCUCUAUGGGCCAACCCUGUCUUCAUCUUAUUACCGCCUUGGCCCAUUCAGGCCCAUAUCGGCCGAGCUGUUCUGGCUUCCAAUCGGCCAGUCCCCAUCGACCUCAUCGGCUAAUCGGCCGAAACACUGUAGCUUUAUCGAUCGAUUUCCCUAGCCACAGCCUCUUGUUUAACGGCGUCGGCUAUUUUCUUCUCCUCUUAACGCCGAUCCUGACACGUGUCAAAAAUCGGCAUCAACAGAGUGCAUACUCCUUGCCAAGCAGUAUAUACUACUCUUUUCUGACAUGUAGCAUAUGCAUUGAAUUUUACGAAUAGCAGUAUAUACUUCUCAAAUGAAAAUUAGUACCUCACACGACUGGGAAUACCUGCAUCUCGUCUGUCAACAAAUUGACAUUGGGGAUGAAUGCACAAUGAACUGCAUCUCGUCGCCGUCGUGCCCAUCGUCCACCAGGCACCAAAAAGGGCGUCUCAGCCACGUGAAUGGGCGUCACCAGAUGCUGCUGUGGCUGCUCGUUACCGCGUUGAUGAGACCAGUGCCAGCGAGUCAUCGGGGACUUGUUACAUGCACCGGGACAAAUGAGCUUAGUGUGCGGAAUUUUGUCGAGCAAGUUACCUACAUGUAGGCACCUUUUGGAAGCAAGGGGAGUAAAACUCAGAGAUGGAAAAC
RNAcentral lists this long non-coding RNA (824 nucleotides) under Setaria italica (foxtail millet). Its description in RNAcentral is "long non-coding RNA (SITA_LNC003907)". The record is from RNAcentral. Lineage: Eukaryota; Viridiplantae; Streptophyta; Magnoliopsida; Poales; Poaceae.